GAUGAACGCUAGCGGCAGGCUUAAUACAUGCAAGUCGUGGGGCAGCAUGAGUAGCAAUACUUGAUGGCGACCGGCAAACGGGUGAGGAACACGUACACAACCUUCCUUCAAGCGGGGAAUAGCCCAGAGAAAUUUGGAUUAAUACCCCAUAAUAUAUUUGAUAAGGCAUCUUAUUAAUAUUAAAGCUUCGGCACUUGAUGAUGGGUGUGCGGCUGAUUAGAUAGUUGGCGGGGUAACGGCCCACCAAGUCUACGAUCAGUAGCUGAUGUGAGAGCAUGAUCAGCCACACGGGCACUGAGACACGGGCCCGACUCCUACGGGAGGCAGCAGUAAGGAUAUUGGACAAUGGACGAAAGUCUGAUCCAGCCAUGCCGCGUGAAGGAUUAAGGGUCCUCUGGAUUGUAAACUUCUUUAUAUGGACGAAAAAGGCAUUCUGUUCACUUGACGGUACCAGUAUGAAUAAGCACCGGCUAAC
Molecule: ribosomal RNA, 475 nt
Filed under: uncultured bacterium
Lineage: Bacteria
Description: bacterial SSU rRNA
Rfam family: Bacterial small subunit ribosomal RNA
Source: RNAcentral